GACGAACGCUGGCGGCGUGCUUAACACAUGCAAGUCGAACGAUGAAGCCGGAGCUUGCUCCGGUGGAUUAGUGGCGAACGGGUGAGUAACACGUGAGCAAUCUGCCCUUGACUCUGGGAUAACUGCGGGAAACUGUAGCUAAUACCGGAUACGACACCUUGGGGCAUCCCAGGGUAUGGAAAGAAUUUCGGUCAAGGAUGAGCUCGCGGCCUAUCAGCUAGUUGGUGAGGUAAUGGCUAACCAAGGCGACGACGGGUAGCCGGCCUGAGAGGGUGACCGGCCACACUGGAACUGAGACACGGUCCAGACUCCUACGGGAGGCAGCAGUGGGGAAUAUUGCACAAUGGGCGAAAGCCUGAUGCAGCAACGCCGCGUGAGGGAUGAAGGCCUUCGGGUUGUAAACCUCUUUUAGCAGGGAAGAAGCGAAAGUGACGGUACCUGCAGAAAAAGCACCGGCUAACUACGUGCCAGCCGCCGCAGUAA
RNAcentral lists this ribosomal RNA (483 nucleotides) under uncultured bacterium. RNAcentral's name for it is "partial 16S ribosomal RNA". It matches the Rfam family "Bacterial small subunit ribosomal RNA", at positions 28 to 523 of the family's 1533-position model. The record is from RNAcentral.